GUUGAAGUAACCGCUGCUAAUAAUCCGAAUUGUUUUUAGUGAGUUAAGUAUUGUUAUGCCCUUAUAUGCGAUCAAGGAUAACAGGCGCUUUAUGACCUCUGGUGGUAACAAUGCACAUUCUCUUGAGUGUGGCACAUCAAGGGCGGGCCUUUUAUUACAGCUCGUGUCGUCAUCAAAGAUGAAACAGGAAAAAAACAACAACGGAGGAACAUUCUAAAUGACAAUAUUUUAAGAUUCAAAGUUGGCUCAAGUCAUGGGGCGUGCGUUGUAGCCGAUGGCAGCGUACUCGGUGUGAAAAGCAGAGAACAAUGGUGGUGAUUAUUUUCACCGAAUUUGAAGAGAAUGAAACCAGUCGACCGUCGUUUGUCAUUGUAUCUGGUCUUUUGUAAUCGGGGGUAUUUAAACACGCCCGUUCAAAAUGAUCUUAAUCUAAAUUUGUGCGCUCGGACUCGACUUCCGCUGAACCCAAAAACUGGGAUCAUUCAAGGUGCAGAACAGUUGAUUUGAAUUAUUUAAAGUCUUAAGAACGCUCACCUUUGACCUAAGCUCUUUCACCAAAAGACAUCAUCAGUGGAGCCCCGAUUUGUCGAUUCACUGGAAACCGAUAGAAACGUCAGAUUACUGAUACUUUCCCCCUUGGUAUUUGAGGUGCUAAUGAAGGCGUUUAGUCAUAUGAAAAUAUAGCAGAAGUGAAGGAAAGAGAAGCAAUUGAUGCACGAGUGAGAGCGGAGUUUCAAAUGAGGGAAGACGAGGGCAGUUGGUGUUCAGAGAGGACGACGCAGGAUAGGCUUACAUGAUAGACGACGACACGCUGUGCCCACCCCUAACGGGACAUCCCGAAAGCACCUUCCUCAAGCCGAGCACCUGUCACCAAUCAGCCCUCGUCACCACCCGCAUAUAAACCUGCCUGGUCCUGUAAAUCCUCGCUACUACUACUGAUAAGAAAUAAAAAAAUGAUGGCUCAAUGGAUGAAUAGCAUGUGGUGAAAUGGACCACUGACUGCAGCAUGAGCGGUCCAAAACAUCCUCCUUGGCCUGGCCCUGAGCGUGGCGGGUCUUCUGGGAUAUUUGCCGUUGAGGUUUGAGGCGCCGCAGUUGCUGAACCACCAACCUCCUGCAACAAAAUGACCAGUUAGAAUCCAUGCUGUUGUUCUGUCACGCUUGACGUGAACAGAUCAGAUGAAGAUCUCACCUGAGUGAAGAUCAGCACAGUUGACGUCCGCGGCGAGAUCACUGUCGCGGUCGGCUGUAGAGAAAGGAAGACCCGAGGCACCCGUCAGAAUGCCUCCCCCCUGAACUCCAGAUGUAGAAUCUUCCUCGAGGUGGAGAGUGUAGUUUUUGUCCUCUCCAUCAAGUUGGAUGCGAUAGUGUGUCGCUUGAGUCUCUCCCGCCCAAUCCGUGAGCUCCACCUGGAGCAGGUACUGGCCUUGUUCGGAGAUUGCGUGAAUGUUCUCCAA
Phycodurus eques (leafy seadragon) is the source of this 1456-nucleotide long non-coding RNA. RefSeq lists it as uncharacterized. The transcript has 4 exons. NCBI's taxonomy places the organism in Eukaryota, Metazoa, Chordata, Actinopteri, Syngnathiformes, Syngnathidae. The record is from RefSeq and is a predicted model, not a curated record.